UCGAUAACCUUUAUUUAUACUAAGUAUUGAAGAUAGAUAUAUACAUCAAAUAUGUUUAAGGUAAGUUAGUAAUCUAGUUUAAGAAAAAAAAAGACGCAACAGUAAAUUAUCUUUGCCAUGUAGAAUUAAAUGAUCAAUUUAGCAAAUAAUAAAAGUAAUCAUCUGUUAUUUUUUUCUAAACCUAUAUUGAGUGGACUCUUUUCUGAACUGAAUAAUUGAGUGCAUUUCUGUAGAUUCGUCUCCAACCUAUAAGAUAAUGAUAAUAAACGCUUAAUAUAAUUACAAGGGUAUAAUUUAGGAACAUAUCAACAUCCAUUUGCCGGAUGUAUGACGAACGAGUGUAGAAUAGAAAAGUAUACAAAUAAUAAAGAUAGUCGAAGAGGCCAGGCGUAUUAAGGCGUUGAUUGUUUCCGUUAGUUUUUUUUGUUUUAGUUUUUGGUUUUUAAAUUUUGAUUUUAUAUUUUGACUUUUGAUUUUUAAUUUUUAACUUUUAGGUUUUUUUUUAUUUUCAGUUUUUGGUUUUGGUUUUUGGUUUUUAAUUUUUAAAUUUUGGUUUUGUAUUCUUAGUUUUUUUUUAUUAUAAAAUAAGCAAUACAUUAUUUUAAAAUAAUAAAAUAAAUAGCGAUAAAGUAUUUAAAAUUUAAAAAAAUAUAGUCGUUGUUAUUUAAAAUAAAAAUUACCAUGUAAUUUUUUAAGUAUUAUACUAAAAUAUAAUUAAUAAAAUAUCUAUAAUUUGUAAAAGAUUAAAAAAUUUAAAAUUUUGAAACUAUUAAAAAUUUUAUUACAUAAAUUAUUUUUCAUUUUUUAAACUUGAAUGGCUAUUUUCAAAUCAAUAUAAUAUAUUGUAUUAAUAAAAUAUUUUAAGUUCUUAUAAUUUUUAGUUGUUGUUUACUGUCUAAUAAUUAUUAAUAUUAUUCAAUAAUUUAUUUAAUAGAAAUUAGUAACAAAUUUUUACAGUUAAAACUAAAAAUAUCUAUAUUUAUUUACAGAUAUGAAACACAAAUAAAUUAUUUUACAUUAAUAUUAAAAUGAUAAAAUGUUUUUAGGAAUUUUAUCGUUAUGAACAUAUUAUUUAUUUAUUUUUUAAUUAAUUAAAAUACGGUAUUUUAUAAAAAAUAAACCAAAAUUCAUUUUUAUAUUGAAAACCCACAAAAGUUGGUUUUUGGCUUGUU
This 1172-nucleotide long non-coding RNA is filed under the name Brassica rapa (field mustard). Its description in RNAcentral is "long non-coding RNA (BRAP_LNC000348)". The record is from RNAcentral. Lineage: Eukaryota; Viridiplantae; Streptophyta; Magnoliopsida; Brassicales; Brassicaceae.